CCCUUAGAUGUUCUGGGCCGCACGCGCGCUACACUGACGAAUGCAACGAGCUUAUAACCUUGGCCGAAAGGUCUGGGUAAUCUCCAAAUUUCGUCGUGAUGGGGAUAGAUUAUUGCAAUUAUUAAUCUUCAACGAGGAAUGCCUAGUAAGCGCAAGUCAUCAGCUUGCGUUGAUUACGUCCCUGCCCUUUGUACACACCGCCCGUCGCUCCUACCGAUUGAAUGGUCCGGUGAAGCGCUCGGACCGCGGCCUCUUGACGGUUUUCCGUCGAUUGGCUGUGGGAAGUUCGUUAAACCUUAUCAUUUAGAGGAAGGAGAANUCGUANCA
This 327-nucleotide ribosomal RNA is filed under the name uncultured eukaryote. RNAcentral describes it as "partial 18S ribosomal RNA". It matches the Rfam family "Eukaryotic small subunit ribosomal RNA", at positions 1470 to 1796 of the family's 1831-position model. The record is from RNAcentral.